Molecule: ribosomal RNA, 468 nt
Filed under: uncultured bacterium
Lineage: Bacteria
Description: partial 16S ribosomal RNA
Rfam family: Bacterial small subunit ribosomal RNA
Source: RNAcentral
GAUGAACGCUGGCGGCGUGCUUAACACAUGCAAGUCGAACGGAAAGGUAAGGAGUUUGCGCCUUGCACGUGAGCCGCAGGGGUGAGAAUAACGCGAGUAUAAUGUACUUGUAAGAGGGAUAUCAUCAGGGAACAGCGGAGAAAACAGGAUAGGAGAUUUGGAAGCACGGGGUUGGAUGGAGAGAUUCGGCGGUGGGGGCUGUAAUCGAGGGUUAUGAGCUUGAUGGUGGGGUUGUGGCUUACCAGGGCUAUGACGGGUAGGCGGCCUGAGAGGCUGACCGGCCACAAUGGGACUGAGAUACGGCCCAGACUCCUACGGGAGGCAGCAGUGGGGAAUAUUGCACAAUGGGCGGAAGCCUGAUGCAGCAACGCCGCGUGCGUAAUGACGGCCUUCGGGUUGUAAACCGCUUUCGCCUGUGACGAAGCGUGAGUGACGGUAAUUGGUAAAGAAGCACCGGCUAACUACGUG